AGUGAACGCUGGCGGUAGGCCUAACACAUGCAAGUCGAACGGCAGCACAGUAAGAGCUUGCUCUUACGGGUGGCGAGUGGCGGACGGGUGAGGAAUACAUCGGAAUCUACUUUUUCGUGGGGGAUAACGUAGGGAAACUUACGCUAAUACCGCAUACGACCUACGGGUGAAAGCAGGGGAUCUUCUGACCUUGCGCUAUUGAAUGAGCCGAUGUCGGAUUAGCUAGUUGGCGGGGUAAAGGCCCACCAAGGCGACGAUCCGUAGCUGGUCUGAGAGGAUGAUAAGCGACACUGGAACUGAGACACGGUCCAGACUACUACGGGAGGCAGCAGUGGGGAAUAUUAGACAAUGGGCGCAAGCCUGAUACAGCCAUACCGCGUGGGUGAAGAAGGCCUUCGGGUUGUAAAGCCCUUUUGUUGGGAAAGAAAAGCAGCAGGUUAAUAACAAGCUGUUCUGACGGUACCCAAAGAAUAAGCACCGGCUAACUUCGUG
Molecule: ribosomal RNA, 492 nt
Filed under: uncultured bacterium
Lineage: Bacteria
Description: partial 16S ribosomal RNA
Rfam family: Bacterial small subunit ribosomal RNA
Source: RNAcentral